Molecule: ribosomal RNA, 473 nt
Filed under: uncultured bacterium
Lineage: Bacteria
Description: bacterial SSU rRNA
Rfam family: Bacterial small subunit ribosomal RNA
Source: RNAcentral
GACGAACGCUGGCGGCGUGCCUAACACAUGCAAGUCGAGCGAGGACAGAGAAGUAGCAAUACGACGCUGUUCUAGCGGCGGACGGGUGAGUAACGCGUGAGCAACCUGUCCCGAACAGGGGGAUAACGAGCCGAAAGGCUCACUAAUACCGCAUGAGACCACAACGUCACAUGACGAAGGGGUCAAAGGAGAAAUCCGGUUCGGGGUGGGCUCGCGUCUGAUUAGCUAGUUGGUGGGGUAAAGGCCUACCAAGGCGACGAUCAGUAGCCGGCCUGAGAGGGUGAACGGCCACACUGGAACUGAGACACGGUCCAGACUCCUACGGGAGGCAGCAGUGGGGAAUAUUGCACAAUGGGCGCAAGCCUGAUGCAGCGACGCCGCGUGAGCGAAGAAGGUUUUCGGAUCGUAAAGCUCUGUCCUCUGGGAAGAAAAAAAUGACGGUACCAGAGGAGGAAGCCCCGGCUAACUACGUG